Molecule: ribosomal RNA, 689 nt
Filed under: uncultured bacterium
Lineage: Bacteria
Description: bacterial SSU rRNA
Rfam family: Bacterial small subunit ribosomal RNA
Source: RNAcentral
AAGCUUGCUUCAAUGAUGGCGACCGGCGCACGGGUGAGUAACACGUAUCCACCUGCCGAUAACUCGGGGAUAGCCUUUCGAAAGAAAGAUUAAUACCCGAUAGUUCCGCAUGGUUAAAGAAUUUCGGUUAUCGAUGGGGAUGCGUUCCAUUAGAUAGUUGGCGGGGUAACGGCCCACCAAGUCAACGAUGGAUAGGGGUUCUGAGAGGAAGGUCCCCCACAUUGGAACUGAGACACGGUCCAAACUCUACGGGAGGCAGCAGUGAGGAAUAUUGGUCAAUGGACGAGAGUCUGAACCAGCCAAGUAGCGUGAAGGGUGACUGCCUAUGGGUUGUAAACUUCUUUUAUACGGGAAUAAGUGGAGUAUGCAUACUCCUUUGUAUGUACCGUAUGAAUAAGGAUCGGCUAACUCCGUGCCAGCAGCCGCGGUAAUACGGAGGAUCCGAGCGUUAUCCGGAUUUAUUGGGUUUAAAGGGAGCGUAGGCGGGUGCUUAAGUCAGUUGUGAAAGUUUGCGGCUCAACCGUAAAAUUGCAGUUGAUACUGGGCGCCUUGAGUGCAGCAUAGGUAGGCGGAAUUCGUGGUGUAGCGGUGAAAUGCUUAGAUAUCACGAAGAACUCCGAUUGCGAAGGCAGCUUACUGGACUGUAACUGACGCUGAUGCUCGAAAGUGUGAGUAUCAAACAGGAUUAG